UUUCUUCCCGUGCUGGCCAAUCUAGAGCAGAAUAGAAGAAAAUAAUGUGUUUUCAGGUUUAUGAUGGAAUCUUUUUCAUCACUGUGCUUGCAGCUUGAUAACCGAUGCUAGUUGUUAGGUGCAUCUUCUCUUUUUCCUUUUCCUUUUCCUUUUCCAUCACACAUUGUGUGUUCCACUGGUGUUUGUAGAUUUGGGAGCUGCCUUUUCCCUGUAUGUGACCAAGAGAACGUUCUCUCAAUUUUUCCAUUACUGUAUUUUGCAAUAAUGAGAAGCAUCUUGUUGCUUGAAUGCUGAUACAAUUGUAUUAUUAUUGGUGGAAUGUAUUGAUACUCCUGAAUAUAUGAAAUCC
This 349-nucleotide long non-coding RNA is filed under the name Solanum tuberosum (potato). RNAcentral's name for it is "long non-coding RNA (STUB_LNC003141)". Lineage: Eukaryota; Viridiplantae; Streptophyta; Magnoliopsida; Solanales; Solanaceae. The record is from RNAcentral.